CCCGCGUAGAGUAUGAUCGUGGCUCAGUUUGAACGCAGGCGGUAGACCUAACAUAUGCAAAUCGAGCGGAUGAGGAGAGCUUGCUCUCAGAUUCAGCGGCGAACGGGUGAGUAAUGCCUAGGAAUCUGCCUGGUAGUGGGGGACAAAGUUUCGGAAGGAACGCGAAUACCGCGUACGUCCUACGGGAGAAGGUGGGGGAUCUUCGGGCCUCACGCUAUCAGAUGAGGCUACGUCAGAUUAGCUAGUUGGUGGGGUCAUGGCCUACGAAGGCGACGAUCCGUAACUGGUCCGAGAGUAUGAUCAGUCACACUGGAACUCAGACACAGUCCAGACUCCUACGGGAGGCAGCAGUGGGGAAUAUUGAACAAUGGGCGACAGCCUGAUCCAGCCGUGCCGCGUGUGUGAAGAUGGUCUUCGGAUUGUGAAGCACUUUAAGUUGGUAGGAAGGGCUGAUGGUUAAUACACUGCCGUUUUGACGUUACCAACAGAAUAAGCAACGGCUAACUUCGUGCCAGCAGACGAGGUGAUACGAAGGGUGCAAGCGUUAAUCGGACUUACUGGGCGUAAAGGCGCGCGCAGGUGGUUGGGUAAGUUAAACGUGAAAGCCCCGGGCCCAACCUGGGAACUGCAUCCAAAACUCCCCGCCUAGAGUGCGGUAGAGGGUGGUGGAAUUUCCUGUGUAGCGGUGCAAUGCGUAGAUAUAGCAAGGAACACCAGUGACGAAGGAGACCACCCGGACUGAUGCUGACACUGAGGUGCGAAAGCGUGGGGAGCAAAAAGGAUUAGAUACCCUGGUAGUACACGCCGUAAGCGAUGUAGACUACCCGUUGAGCUCCUUGAGAGCUUGGUGGCACAGGUAAAGCAUUAAGUCGGCCGCGUGGGGAGUACGGCCGCAAGGUUAAAACUCAAAUGAAUUGGCGGGGGCACGCACAAGCUGUGGAGCAUGUGGUUUAAUUCGAAGCCACGCGAAGAACGUUACCUGGCCUUGACAUCCUGAGAACCUUUCAGAGAUGACAGGGUGCCUACGGGAACGCAGAGACCGGUGCUGCAUGACUGUCGACAGCUCAUGUCCUGAGCUGUUGGGUUAAGUCCCGUAACGAGCGAAACCCUUGUCCUUAGUUACCAGCACCUCUGGUGGGCACUCGAAGGAAACUGCCGGAGACAAACCUGAGGAAGGUGGAGAUGACGUCAAGUCAUCAUGGCCGUUACGGCCAGGGCUACACACGUGGUACGAUGGUCGGUACAGAGGGUUGCCAAGCCGCGAAGUGGAACUAAUCCCACAAAACCCAUCGUAGUCAGGAUCGCAGUCUGCAACUCGACUGCGUGAAGUCGGAAUCGCUAUUAACCGCGAAUCAGAAUGUCGCGGUGCAUACGUUGCCGGGCGUUGUAAACACCGCCCGUCACGCCAUGGAAGUGGGUUGCGCCAGAAGUCGCUAGUCCAACGUUCGGGGGGAAGGUUACCACGGAGUGAUUCGUGACUGGGGUCAAGACGUAAAAAG
This 1499-nucleotide ribosomal RNA is filed under the name Azotobacter chroococcum. Its description in RNAcentral is "bacterial SSU rRNA". It matches the Rfam family "Bacterial small subunit ribosomal RNA". The record is from RNAcentral. Lineage: Bacteria; Pseudomonadati; Pseudomonadota; Gammaproteobacteria; Pseudomonadales; Pseudomonadaceae.